UUACCUGGCCUUGACAUGCCACUAACGAAGCAGAGAUGCAUUAGGUGCCCGUAAGGGAAAGUGGACACAGGUGCUGCAUGGCUGUCGUCAGCUCGUGUCGUGAGAUGUUGGGUUAAGUCCCGCAACGAGCGCAACCCUUGCCAUUAAUUGCCAUCAUUGAGUUGGGCACUUUAAUGGGACUGCCGGUGACAAACCGGAGGAAGGUGGGGAUGACGUCAAGUCCUCAUGGCCCUUAUGGCCAGGGCUUCACACGUAAUACAAUGGUCGGUACAGAGAGUUGCCAACCCGCGAGGGGGAGCUAAUCUCAGAAAGCCGAUCGUAGUCCGGAUUGUUCUCUGCAACUCGAGAGCAUGAAGUCGGAAUCGCUAGUAAUCGCGGAUCAGCAUGUCGCGGUGAAUACGUUCCCGGGCCUUGUACACACCGCCCGUCACACCAUGGGAGUGGGUUUUACCAGAAGUAGGUAGUCUAACCGCAAGGGGGACGCUUACCACGGUAGUAUUCAUGACUGGGGUGAAGUUGUUACAAGGUAACC
RNAcentral lists this ribosomal RNA (532 nucleotides) under uncultured Methylophilus sp. RNAcentral describes it as "bacterial SSU rRNA". It matches the Rfam family "Bacterial small subunit ribosomal RNA", at positions 971 to 1501 of the family's 1533-position model. Lineage: Bacteria; Pseudomonadati; Pseudomonadota; Betaproteobacteria; Nitrosomonadales; Methylophilaceae. The record is from RNAcentral.